AAAGAAAAGGUGGCAGGGAAGAAACUGACAUUGAAGGUAGUGUUCCCAAGGCAAGGCUUACCCAUUGCAUUUUGGAUGUAUGGGCCCCUGCAAUUUCCCCAAUUUAUGUUAGUAGGAAACUAUGUUCAUGUUCUUCCCUA
RNAcentral lists this small nuclear RNA (140 nucleotides) under Erinaceus europaeus (western European hedgehog). RNAcentral describes it as "U1 spliceosomal RNA (ENSEEUG00000022935.1)". The record is from RNAcentral. Lineage: Eukaryota; Metazoa; Chordata; Mammalia; Eulipotyphla; Erinaceidae.